UUUCAAGAAUUUAAUACUUACUUAUAUGAUUGACUAUAAAGAAAAUAUAGCAACAUGCAGAAAUUAAUCCAAACAAAAAGAGAGAAAUUGCAGAGAAGUUCCAAGUGUUUUUAAAUGAAAAAAAAAAAGUACAAACACAAUUUUUAAAAUCACAGCCUUCUCUCCUCUCCUUCCCCCUUCCUCCUCUCUUUUCCUUCCCCCUUCCUCCUCUCUCCACCAGAUUUGUUACUUAAGGGCCAACACUACUCCAGAGUUACCUAACCACUCAAUAUCCUACAAAAUGUUAGGGAAGUGAGUAAUAUAAGAGAAGACUGUCAUCUCAUUCAGUACAAACAGCAUCCAUAUCAUUGUUUUUACUAUUAACAGAAAUUAGAAUCUAAGUUCCUAAGAUCCUAAACUCCUACCUAAGAGGUAGAGUUCCUUCAAAUAUCCAAGAUGUCUCUUUCUGUUGUUCAUUCUAUGACAGACCAAGUUGGACCAUCCUGGGCAGGGCCCUCUUCCCACCUUAGACUUUAUGUUCUUACAACUUUUCAAAGACAGCCCCUCUUAGUGGCAAUUACUUGAAACCAGGGAGACCCCUUCUAACCCUAGAAAGAACAAACAAGAAAUGAAUUUUUUUUCACACUUAAAGAUGUAGACAAUGAGUUUGUGAAGUGCAAGCAAGAUUUAUAUCUUUUAUUUCCACAUUAUUGAGACCAGAAAAAAGGUACGUAAGUAGAAAUGUAGGAGGAUGCCCAUUCACAAAAAGUCAUAUCCUGCAUAGAGAGGUAAACACAUGAGAAAUGUGAUGUGCCAAUCAAUGAAGCCACGAAUAUUUACUGAGUGCCCAAGGUGCAUGAGGCACUGGGAGCUGGGAGGUACUGAGGAAGUCGUUUAAAGAAACACAUUUCUUGACAUAAUAACAUCUCACGGUAGUAUAAAAAGUCCCCUUGGCAAAUCAUCAAUGGCCUUAUAAGUAAGUGGCACUACAAAACUGAAUUGCCAGGUAAUCAUGCACUUUGCCCCGUCUGAUAUCAUGGGCAGGCUGCAUCACACCACAGUAAUUAGAGCCAGGGAACAAACAGUAGACAAUGGGCUCCAGGCAGGGAUCAAAAGGUCCUCACUGCUGUGCAGCAUGCCAAGGGAGAACUCAGCAGGCAAUCUAGAGGCAAAGGUAUUAGCAAAAGAUAUUGGUUACAAAAGUAUAAAAAUGUUUCAAAAAUUCUAAAACCUGCUGGGCAGAUGCAGAAUUUGUGCCUCAGCAUCUCAGCUACUUUUGUAAUGAUGAGUAUUUCCUACAACACAGAAAUUUCGGCUGGUGUUCUGUAUGGAUAACCUGCAUCCCAGCAAAAAGAACAGAAAAAGAAAACAUAACUCUUACCAUCUCUUAUCUAUGGACAUUCGUGAUCCAACUUAGUGAGAUUUAUUAAAUAGCCAAUCACUGUAUUUAAUAGCUGUGCCCGUAUCUCAAAGCUCAAAUCAUGUGCUAAUAAUAGAGUUGAGAAGGUAGAAUAGCAAAGGGCUUUUAAGGUGCUGCUCUAGCAUAUAUUGGAUAAAUCCUGCACAACUGAUGGUCACAAUGAAAAAUGAAAGCAUAUAUAUAUAUAUACACACACCAAGACCACAGUAUAUCCUACAAGUUUGAAAGAGUCAUUUCUCAGAAAGCUUUUAACUGUCACUGAGAUGUCAUCCUAGCCUGAUCAUAGGAUCUAGAAAUGAAAGAGAUCUUAAGAGUUGUCAUCCACGCCAUCGUCUUCCACUCCUUGGCCCAUGUUGCCGUGGAAGAAAUGGAUGCUCAUCGGUAUUCAAUGGUUUGCCCAGAGUCACAUGGGUCCUUAAGUAGCAGAGCAUAAAUUGACAUUCAAAGGUGUUUGCUGUCAUGUACAAUGCUCCUACAGCUAGGCUGCAUUGCUUCUCAGUAAUCACACUUCCUCCUUUGGCAAGCUUGCUAACCCCAGUUCUCAUAAGUAAUGCUGCUCAUAAGUUUUGCUUUUGAGAAGGUUGUGAGUUUGCAAUGAGUCUUGUUGAAUUAAAUUGAAUUGAAAUCUGUCCCUUGAGAAUACUACUUCUCAGUCCCAACUUACAAAAUUGAAUAAAUAUACAACUGUGAGAUUUGGGUUCCUGCCAAAUGUUAGAAUCAUCUAAUAAGGUUGUUUUCUAUGCUUGUUUUUUAUUUUUUUAAAUUUGUUUAGGUUCAUGAAGGGCUCAACUAUUGGAGUCAACUCUUUGGUUGGGGGUUAUAAAAUAACACCCCUGGCUCACCAUAAAUUCUAAAUAUUCGGUAUGGCUUUUGGGCCAGACAACACUGAGUUCUUUGCUUUGUGGACCCAUCAAAAUAGGAGCUAAUAUUUUGGGAUUAAAUGAUCUCUAAGGUCCUUCCAGCUGUAAAUACUAUGAUUGCUUUCAGAACGACUUUGUUGAUAGCAAAGUCCUUCUAAACUGGUGAAAUGGAGUAAUAAAAAACCAAGCUUGAAGACAGGGAAAGCUCUCCAGGCUUCCCCCCCAAUAUAUUAAAAUUGAUU
This 2501-nucleotide long non-coding RNA is filed under the name Sarcophilus harrisii (Tasmanian devil). RNAcentral describes it as "lncRNA (ENSSHAG00000025729.1)". Lineage: Eukaryota; Metazoa; Chordata; Mammalia; Dasyuromorphia; Dasyuridae. The record is from RNAcentral.